RNAcentral lists this non-coding RNA (29 nucleotides) under Mus musculus (house mouse). The record is from RNAcentral. Lineage: Eukaryota; Metazoa; Chordata; Mammalia; Rodentia; Muridae.
UCCAAUCCUGUCACCUCAGCGUCAGCCAC